Capra hircus (goat) is the source of this 3452-nucleotide long non-coding RNA. Lineage: Eukaryota; Metazoa; Chordata; Mammalia; Artiodactyla; Bovidae. The record is from Ensembl.
GUGCUGCCCUAAGAGUCUUCGGAUAUCAAGUUACUCUCUGCUCUUGAAACCUCAGUGUUGACUUCAGAAAGACCGUGAUCAUUUGCAAAAAGAAGUUGCCCUCUUUCCAUGGCAGAUGUUUAAACAUGCCUUCCUAAGGGUCAAGAAAAACACCACCUCAUGGAAUGGGAUUGGGGAGUCCCCAACCAGACCCAAGCCGGUCCUGUCCUGGGGGACCUGCUGGGGGACCACAUGGAGGGAAGAAACAGCAGCAACUCCACCAGGGCCCUGAGGCUUCUGGAUGGGACCAGUGCCGCUUGGUAUAUCCUCACCAUCUUUGGCAUCUACGGAGUGAUUUUCCUCUUCCGAUUGGCCAGCAACAUCCUCAGAAAGAACGAAAAGUCCUUGGAAGACAUUUAUUACUCCAAUCUCACAUUUGAAUUUGAAAAGAAAAGGCUCCAGAGCAAGGCAGCCAGAUGCUCUUCACUGACCAUUAGCAACAGAGCUGUCCUGCAGCCCAAGCAGGCCAGCCCGGAGACAAAGGGUAGGAAUAGCAGCCCCCACACUGAAAUCCAAGAGACCCCUUGAAAGUCAAGGCAAGGAGGCCUCCACAGCUGAGGUUCAAACUUCUUGCUUGAGGGAGCAGCUUUGGGCUUACCUGGAACCUUGAGAGGCGAGUCGAACCCUUGAGCGGGGCUGAAAGAGCAUCACUGAGCCACAGGUGCGUGGGGGUGCUCCCAAAAGCCAGCCUCCUGUUUCCUUCUCAGGCUUCCCGAUGCUCUGAGAUGAGCAGGAGCAGCGGCUUUCAGCCCCACUCACCCCUCACUGGAAAAUUUUAUGCUCCAGGCAAGGACAUGGGACAUCCACUGUUCUCAAAGGAAUCUGGUAGGCUCCUGGGCCAUGUGUGAAGGUAGCCUCUUGUCAUGGAAAGAAGGCUGAAUUUGGAGUCAAAUGCCUUGGAUGAAAUUCAACUUCUAGAUGGUCACAUGAACCUUGACUGGCUGGUGGCUCACGUGGAACAUGUGAGGAUUGGGAUAUACGGUCUCAGAGGGCCAUUUAUUCUAAGACUCUGUCUAAAAUAUUGAACCAGAAUAGUCAAUAUCAACAUCCUAAUUUUCAGAAGUUCUUCAUUUUCAUUGACAGUGCAGAGUCCAUUCAAAAAAAUGUAUUAGUUUUAGAGUCAGAAGAAUCAGACUCUACUCUGAGUUAGACUUAUGACCACUUUGAUGUCCUUGCACACACCACUCACCUCUCCCAACCUUAGUUUCCUUCCAGAUAAUGAGGAUAAUGAUGCCAGUUUUCUGCCAAUCUUGCAAAGCAGAUGAGAGCUAAUGAAAUCAUGUAUAUGAACAUAUUUUUAAAAGUAAAAUAAAUAUGCAAAUAUAAACCUCAUUGUGGUGGUGGUGAUGAUGGUGGCUCAUGUUAAAUUAUGGUGAUGGUAGUAUUGGUGGUGAAUGGGGGUAGUUGAUGGUUGGUGUUAAUGAUAGUGGGGUUGGUGGUGGUUGAUGGUCAGUGUUGAUUGUGGUCUUGGUGGUUGAUAGCUGAGUUGAUGAUGGUGAUGGUGGUGGUGAUUGGUGUUGUUAUUGAUGGUGUUGGUGGUGGUUGAUGGUCAGUGUUGAUGGUGGUCUUGGUUGUUGAUGUUGAUGAUGGUGGUCGUGGGGGUUGUUGAUGGUGUUGGUGUUGGUAGUUGGUGUUGUUGAUGGUGUUGUUGGUGGUUGAUAGUCAGUGUUGAUGGUGGUCUUGGUGGUUGAUGUUGAUGGUGGUGGUGGUGGUGGUUGUUGAUGUUGUUGGUGGGGGUUGGUGCUGUUGUUGAUGGUGCUGGUGGUAGUGGUGAUGCUACUGUGGUCCAGGAAAUGACGAGCCUACUGGUAAUAGCUAUAAGUAAUGGCUGCAUUACUUGAUUCUAGAAGAGAACCUAUCUGCAUCAAAGUUGAUGAUGUGUGCUCUGAGUCAAGUCCAUGAGAUUCAGUUGUACAUGUAGACAAAAUAGUCACUUUUAGUUUUCAUUACUGUAGAUUUCAUAUUAUUCAUUCAAAUGUUUCACAAACAUCUGUUACUUAUAUUCUUGUCUCUGCUUCAAAAAGAAAUAAGAUCUUGUCAAAUGAUUGAUUCAUUUAGAGAGAUUGUGAUUAGCUGAAUUUCUACAAGUGGCUUUCAGUAGGCAAAGAGAAAAAGUAUGUUUUGUACCAACCUCUCUGAAGUUUAUCUGGUUUGGCUUUUGGAGGGGUCCCCUGAACAAUAAAUAAAAAAAAUUUUUCCCCUGUCUAUGCACAGUGGUCUAUAACCAACUGCAUGAUUUCAUAAAGGUUAAAUUAAAUGCCAUGCUUUUUGUUGAAAGGAUGAGAUAGACUUCCAACUAUUUUUCUUUUUUUCAUAUUUUCCCCAUGAUCAUCUUACAGGCUCUCCAGCAAAAGUAUUUGUUGGUUUGUUUAUAUAGUUAGGGCUGGGCAUCAUCCACGUUUGAGACACUUACGGGGCAGGAUAAACAGUAGGCACAAAGACAGGCAAAAAUGUAACCCACAGUGAACAGGGAUGCACGCGCGCUCAGUCGUUUCCAUCGUGUCUGACUCUGUGUGAACCCAUGGCCUGUAGCCUGCCGGGCCCCUCUGUCCAUGGGAUUCUCCAAGUCAAGAAUACUGGAGUGGGUUGCCUUGUCCUCCUCCAGGGGAUCUUCCCAACCCAGGGGUUGGAUCCGUGGCAUCUCCUGUGUCUUCUGCAUCACAGGUAGACUCUUUAGCACUGAGCUGCCCGGGAAGCUCGAAUAGGAAUGCAGAAUGCACUAAAACGGGAGCACAAGGUCAGAACUGAAGUGAAUUUGAAGGUAAAAUACAUACUCUGUCUUGUUGGUUGCUUCCUUCUAAUGGAUCUUCCUCUUCCUCAAUCCAACAUCUCCUUAAUUUGCAUUUGGGAAUGCAUAUGGCUCUAGGAAAGAUGAAACUACUCCCAGUUCAGGACCUGAUUCAAUUAGUACAUCUCAUCUCCAGCUUCACUAAUAAGGGACCAAGCUGGACCCAUGACCCAAGUAAGCCCACCCCAUUAGAAUGAUGGGAAGGACUUCCAUAGGGAAUUAUGGAACACAGACGCCCUCUCUUGUGCUGGAUGGUGUUAAAUCCAGAGCUGAGUUUGAAAUCACUGGAGCCAUUCUGUCACCAUGGGCAAAGCCAAUGUGAGGGCAAAGGUCAACAUAAAGUGGAGACAUGAGAAAAUUACAGAGGCUAGACUUCUAAUCAGACUGUGCCCAAAGCCUUCAUUUCUCCCAGAUUGUUUUAGUUAAUGAGCCAAUAAAUUUCCCUUAUUAAGUCCUUUAGAGAUAAGCUUCCUGUCCCCCUCAACCAAAAAUAUCCCUAAUGAUACCACUGGAGAAAUAAUCUUCUGAAGGAAGUGGACCUUGGAGUGGAAUUAGAUAAAAGCAAUGUGAUGUGGUAAAGUGGGAUCACGUCUUUCACCAAGAUUUUUUAUAUUUAUAUGAUUUU